CUUCUCCUCACUAGGGUCGCGGGCGUGCUGGAGCCUAUCCCAGCUAUCUUCAGGCGAGAGGUGGGGCACACCCUGAACUGGUUGCCAGCCAAUCGCAGGGCACAGAAAUUCAGUGAAAAAACGAAAGUACUGACUAACUGUUUGUCUAAAGACCGGAAUAAAUCCUUGCCUUGGCAUCCUGCAACGCCUGGGCCUCAUUCACGGUGUCGCCUUCGUCACGUCCAGCCUGUGGGCCCCACACUCCCCUGAGUUGAGCAACUCUGACCUUGAUGGCGGUUCUCAACUCGGAGGCGUCAUACACCGGCGCCAGCAUGAGCAGACCGAGCACCACGCUCUGGAAGUUCCCGCUCAGCUCCGAGGACAGCUCGUCA
Molecule: long non-coding RNA, 371 nt
Organism: Phyllopteryx taeniolatus (common seadragon)
Lineage: Eukaryota; Metazoa; Chordata; Actinopteri; Syngnathiformes; Syngnathidae
Exons: 3
Source: RefSeq, a predicted model, not a curated record